This 31-nucleotide non-coding RNA is filed under the name Rattus norvegicus (Norway rat). Lineage: Eukaryota; Metazoa; Chordata; Mammalia; Rodentia; Muridae. The record is from RNAcentral.
UGUGGAUAUAGACAUAGCCUGAUGAAUCUGC